GACGAACGCUGGCGGCGUGCUUAACACAUGCAAGUCGAACGGAAAGGCCCUGCUUUUGUGGGGUGCUCGAGUGGCGAACGGGUGAGUAACACGUGAGUAACCUGCCCUUGACUUUGGGAUAACUUCAGGAAACUGGGGCUAAUACCGGAUAGGAGCUCCUGCUGCAUGGUGGGGGUUGGAAAGUUUCGGUGGUUGGGGAUGGACUCGCGGCUUAUCAGCUUGUUGGUGGGGUAGUGGCUUACCAAGGCUUUGACGGGUAGCCGGCCUGAGAGGGUGACCGGCCACAUUGGGACUGGGAUGCGGCCCAGACUCCUACGGGAGGCAGCAGUGGGGGAUAGUGCACAAUGGGCGGAAGCCUGAUGCAGCAACGCCGCGUGCGGGAUGACGGCCUUCGGGUUGUAAACCGCUUUCGCCUGUGACGAAGCGUGAGUGACGGUAAUGGGUAAAGAAGCACCGGCUAACUACGUG
RNAcentral lists this ribosomal RNA (468 nucleotides) under uncultured bacterium. Its description in RNAcentral is "partial 16S ribosomal RNA". It matches the Rfam family "Bacterial small subunit ribosomal RNA", at positions 28 to 507 of the family's 1533-position model. The record is from RNAcentral.